CAGGAUGAACGCUAGCUACAGGCUCAACACAUGCAAGUCGAGGGGCAGCAUAACGAAAGCUGCUUUGUUGAUGGCGACCGGCGCACGGGUGAGUAACGCGUAUCCAACCUUCCCUAUAGUAGAGAAUAGCCCGGCGAAAGUCGGAUUAAUGCUCUAUGUUCUUCUUUGAUGGCAUCUGACGAGAAGCAAAGGUUCACCGCUAUAGGAUGGGGGAUGCGUCUGAUUAGGUAGUCGGCGGGGUAACGGCCCACCGAGCCAUCGAUCAGUAGGGGUUCUGAGAGGAAGGUCCCCCACACUGGUACUGAGACACGGACCAGACUCCUACGGGAGGCAGCAGUGAGGAAUAUUGGUCAAUGGGCGUAAGCCUGAACCAGCCAAGUAGCGUGCAGGAUGACGGCCCUAUGGGUUGUAAACUGCUUUUAUGCGGGGAUAAAGUCACCUACGUGUAGGUGUUUGUAGGUACCGCAUGAAUAAGGACCGGCUAAUUCCGUGCCAGCCGCAGC
Molecule: ribosomal RNA, 503 nt
Filed under: uncultured bacterium
Lineage: Bacteria
Description: bacterial SSU rRNA
Rfam family: Bacterial small subunit ribosomal RNA
Source: RNAcentral